AGACAGUACAUCAAGUAAUGAGAUUUCGCCAAGAUCAGAUUCUGACAAUCGAGAAAAGCCACCAAAACUACCAGUAACCCAGCUAAGGCUGCUCUAUCCAAUAUUUUGGAACCAUAUCGUAAGGGAGAUAUGGAUAAAAUGAACCAAGCCUUGGGAAAUUCGAACGAGGAACAGAUGUAAGGGAUUUUUUGCGUGGUAGCAGGCCAAUUGUCUCAACAUGGUGGCAAGUCGGGCAUUAUUUGUUCCUGCACCGACGAGACCGAGAGCAAAGAUUGCACUGUUGGCUACCUCAGAGUCAUUAUCGUGGCUGUAUUUAUUUAGGACGUCGAGAACUGCCAAGUCUGGAUUCGACAAAGAAGAUAAACCUAGAGCCAAUGGCAUUGCUCGUCUUGCAUAUAUAGAUCCGUAUCUUCCAAUCUGAGAAAUAAUCCCUUAUAGAAACAUCAAUGAUCGUAUAUUGACACUUUUAAAUCAAGGGAUUAAACAAUUUUUCUUAUCACCUGACCGAAUAUCCUCGAAUUCUCUUUUCCCUCUCCCAGUGCAACAGCAGCGACACCCAAAGUAGCUAUAGCCUGCGACGAGCCGAUUUCUCUGAAGGAUACAUGGAAAAUUAUGAAAAGGUCAUGAUAAAUAUAAAUAAUAAAAAUGCGAUUAAAAGAGCACUUUGAUCCCCCGUGUUGUUUCUCUUCUAACUUCUCUUUGGUUUUUUUCUCAGAAAAUUCGAUAAUUCGAUGGCGUUGAUCGCAACAACUGCUCACAGGACUGCUAGCCGGCGUAGCGGGAAUACUUUCACCAUCCACCGGUUCCGAACAUAUUCGUAACAAUUCCUGAACAAUCAAUACAUCCCCUGUCCCAGCGUAUGCACAUACCUGAGCAUAGUCUGCGCAGCAAGCUUGUAAGGAUCUGGUAAGACUUCGAGUGCGGCCGAAGAAGCCUCUAUGACAUCGCGACAACCCAUGUAGACCAUUCCCAGUGCCAGUGACAGAAAUCUAUACAAAAAUAAACUCGAAACAAUUCUUCUUCGCCAUCGUUUUAAACUCGAUGAAUGUAUUUCUUUUUAACCUAGAAUGGGUACUAGAUAACUUUUGAGGAGUAAACUCUAGUAAUUUCUGUAGAAGGGUCGAAGAAGCUUCAGCAUCGGCAGAACCAACGUUUAUCAAUCCUAUCGCAAUUGCUCCCAAAGACAUAACUUCCAUGCUAUCUAAAAAUUGUUCAUUACGCGAAAGAUUCUUUCUUUCUAGCUAUCCAUAAACGUACUUCCAUUGUCCACCAGAACUCCCGUUAGAAGCUCCGUAACAUCAGAUCUUUGUGAACCAGCGUAAGCUAAACCUAAACCCAAAAUGGCCCCAAUUCUCAACGUGGCGUUUUCAGAAGACACAUAAUCGCUGAGAAGUGCCAGUGCUGGAUCACAUUCAUUGCGAAUGCCACAGUUAACCAAUCCUAUAGCAAGUAAAGCACCUGCUUUGAUGUUGUAAUCGUUCGUAUAAAGAUAUCUGCGAGGAAAAACACAUCUUAGCUCUUGGACAUUUGUUCGUAAAUUAUAAUUUCAUUACGAUAAAAGACGCGAAUCACUUGUCGAUAGGUACCAGUCCACCAUCUACGUCCCACAUGUGUAUCAGUCCCAAGGAAGCGGUUGCAGAGAGCAUUCCGUGUUCCUAUCAAACAAUUUACUUUAGCUUUGAAUAGUUUAAAUUUUUCUUUUAAAAAAAAUCUCUUUUAUAAAAACCUUAUUUUUAUAAACCCAACAUUCUGAAGUGUUGUCCAUCAGUUUAUCUUGGCCGAAACCAGCAUGAACGAAACCGGAAACGAACGUGGCUGCUAAAUUGGCUCUGGCUGAAUCGUGUUCCGCGCGUCUCAAGGUAUUAGUUUCUAACCAGGUUUUGUAAAUAUCGUCUGGAUGUUUGGGUUCUAAAAUGUCGAGUUCCCUUGCAAGUAAAUGAAAAUGAUUGUUUACGUGGCUGUUACUCAAAAUGGCUUCGAUAUCCUUUGCGUCAUCUCCUUGAUAAUCUUUUUUCAACGGGGUCUCCUAAUGAUCAAUAAAUUAUAUGA
Molecule: long non-coding RNA, 2049 nt
Filed under: Apis florea (little honeybee)
Lineage: Eukaryota; Metazoa; Arthropoda; Insecta; Hymenoptera; Apidae
Description: uncharacterized LOC116414984, transcript variant X2
Source: RNAcentral